CCUAGCAAUAAUAAGUGGUUAUUUCUGCCAAGACCAAGGAUUUGGAAAAUUAAAUACGAACUAUUUUAGUGACUACACAAACACAGAUAUAAACUUUUACCCUCUACAAUAUUUAAAUCCCUUAAAGGGAAUUUCUUAAGAAAGAAAGAAAUACAUUGCAUGAAGCCAUUGGAGGAAGGAUCGAGCCCGUUUGUUCUGACUGUUCUGACUGCUUGCCCAAGAUUGCUGGUUACUCUGUAUGUACAGCUACUAUAAAUGAUGAGGGAAAAGACUCCAGCUUCUAACAGAUAUAGAUCCCUUAUGCACCGCUUUAGAUUUUUAUAGCCUUUUAUAGCCCUAAUGCUGCAUCAGCCAGCCCUGCCUGGGCUCCAGCCAGAUGUCAAGUAGGUUCCAUGUAUCAACAGCCUCUCCCGGGCACUACUUUAUGACUCUUCUCUCAGACCACGGAACUUCCUAGUUGACAGAAACAAGAAUGUGACUGGAACCCAGCAUGUGUAACCUGAAAGUACAGGGAAGUGGAUGUGGUGUUGCUAAAAAGUUUGAUUGGUGGGAUGGGAGCCAGUGUAUAAAUGUUUUCCCUUUCUCCCUCAAGUGCUUGGACCUGUGUUAUCUCAGAAAAUCCUGUGGCCAACUCAGUAACACAUCCCUGCUUUACUCUCUUCUCUCUUAUUCCUGACCCCUUGAACUGCUCCAGGACUCCAGUAAAAUAUUCUUAACAUGAGUCUUUGUCUCAAGUUUAUUUUCUGAGAAAGGAAGAAGGCUAAGAAAUUAUUUUCAGUUUAGUACCAAGGAAAUGAGUGAAAGUUAAAUAAAUUGUAUGUCGCGAUUGUAUUACCAUUGAUUUUCAGGUUUAAAGUAGUUUAGAAAGCCCUUGAAUACAAAAAACAAACAAAUAAAAAACCCAGAGAUGCCUAAUAGUGCGAAGUCUGCUCUGGGCAACACAGCAGUAUAUUUGCUUGGCAAAAGAAAACAUAUAAUCUACAGGACAAUAUAUUAGAGCAGCAAGUGAGAGGAGAACUAUGUAACCUAUAAGUAAAGAUUAAAAUAAUGGGAACAUAGAUGUAAAUACAGUGUAUGUAAGGCAAAAAAGUAAAAUUGACAACAUAAAAGAAAAGUAAUAGUGAGAAAUAUAAGGAUAUGAAAGUUUCACUUUAUAGGAAGCAAUAUAUGUUUCUGAAGAGGAGCAUAAAAGAGUUCCAACUCAGUGGUGUAGUUGAGGAGAAUCUUCUCUGGAAGAAAGAAAACUUAAAUGCAUGAAGGAUCAGUUGUUAGGAGAAAAAGUGUCAAUCUACAUAGUAUGAAUAAAAAAACUUAUAAUGUAUUAUUUGCACAACUAACACUAAUGCCUAAAUGUGUACAAAAUAAUAAAGGUGAUAUGGGUAAUAUACAGUGGCAGAAAAUAUUUUAAAAAUUAAAAUUUUUGAAAUAGAUCAGUUGUUACAGCCUAUGCUUUCAAUACAACAAAAAUAAAAUUUUAGAAGUGUCAGAAAAAGAUAAACUCUACAGGCUUUGGAGAGAGACAUAUCCUAAUUUAAAUUCCAGUUUCACCAAUUACCCGCCGUGUUCAUGUGUAACGUGAAUAAGCAUUAAGAUUUCUGUGCUUCAGUUUCAUUCAACUGCGAAAGAUUGGUAUGAAAAAAUGAUAAAAUAAGCAUGUAAAGAGCUUACUAUACACCAAGUUGCCCAUGGUAAUAACCCCAAAAAAGGUUGUUUUAAUAACAUGUCUUCUGUUGCUAAGAGGCUUCAAUGAGGUAGAAAAAAGAGCCAGUCUCUAACUUGACUUGGUUUCAAAUGCCGAUUCUGACUUUUAUUAGCCAUAAUGACUACAUUAACUUCUGUGGAAAACAUGCAAUAACAUUGGACUCAGAUCUAACUGUGUGGCCAUGAACAAAUAUGAUUUUCUGACCUUCAACUUGAGAUAAAGAUUAAAUGUGAUAAUUUGUAUGAAUGUAUGUUCACGCAUUAUUUUUGUGUAAUAACCAGUUUAUUUCUUUCACACAUUAAAGUUUCAUAGGUUUAUUUUUCAUUUUAAUAGAGACUUUAAAAAGGAUUUCUGGAGUGGGAGUAAAAAUCAGAAUAAUGAGCCUGACUGAUUCUACUAAUGUUGCUUUAGAUGUCAAAACUUGGAUUUUCUAUUUCUUUUUAUCAAUGAGGAAAAGAUGUGAAAAGUCUCUACUGAAAAUCACAGAGAUGGAAGAAAACUCACUUAUUUUAAACUAAUUAAUUGUGAUUAACAAAUAUAAAUAAAAGCUAAGGAUUGUCACCUGGUUUUCAGUGUGUGAAAUAGGAGUGCACUGUGAAAACUUUGAAAUUUAUCGUUUGGGAACAUAUUUUUGAAGGAAACAUUAUAUGUACAAGCAAAAUUUUGCAAAAUUGUAUCUUAUGCUUAACAAUCUUACUAUAUAAAUAAGUAAUUGAAACAAGGUGGGCGGAUCACAAGGUCAGGAGUUCAAGACCAGCCUGGACAACAUAGUGAAACCCCAUCUCUACUAAAAAUACAAAAAAAUUGGCCAGGCGUGGUGGCGCAUGCCUGUAAUCCCAGCUACUUGGGAGGCUGAGGCAGGAGAAUCACUUGAACCUGGAAGGCAGAGGUUGUGGUGAGCCAAGAUCUCGCCAUUGCACUCCAGCCUGUGAGACAGUGUGAGACUCCGUCUCAAAAAAAAAAAAAAUUACUUUAUUCAAUUUCAUUUGUAUGAACUAUUAAAGAUUUUUGUCAGAUUCUUUAAUUUUAUGUUAUUUAUUCAUAUUUUGAAAGUAGAAGACUUACUGUGUUGCUCACAGAGGCUGUUUAGAUUUUUAAUUUCACCCAGGCCACAAAUCAAACUACUGACCUCUUAAUUCUCAGCAAAAAAUAAAUAAAUUUUUAUUUUUGAAAAGCUGGCAGUAUUUAAAUAUGUUUUCUAUCAAUUUUACAAUUUUUCACCUCAAUAUAUCUAAAUCAAUGUAUUCUCUGUUGCUUGUAUUUUUUAAAAGAAAUAAUUUUAUUCUCAUUUUUCUGACCAGAAAAGGAAGGAAACAAAAUCAUCAAAGGUUGCAUUAUUUUAUCACCCUGAGUAAAUGGGACUUCAUGCCAUUACAGGAUUCUGGAAGAAACAGAGCUAGCUCAUGCUGUGGGAGGGAGGGCUAGGGUCCUUACCCAUUAACCCCAGCCUGUCAUUGGUAGAGCACUGUUCCCGGGUGGCAUUAAUUCCCUAGCAGUCCCAGCCUCCUGGGAACAUGGGAAAAGUGGUCCCCAGUGGCCCCUGAACACUUUUAGGCAAACAGAUGCAGAGCUGAGAGUUGAAUAUCAGGCUAGCAUGCAUAAAAAAUGGCUAAAGUUAAGAAGAAAGAAGCAGGAAACUGACACAUGAUAUAUAAUAUCACAUAUAUAUUAAUAUAUGUGCGUACAUGUGUAUAUGUGUAUAUAUACAUAUGCACAUACAUAUAUAUAUUUCUCAUUAAAAAAAGUUAAAAAUACAAAGAAGGAAAAUAAAAAUCAACACCAUUUUACUGACUUCAGUUUGGUAAAAUGAAUUUUAAGGCAUUUAAGGUUUUAAAAAAGUUGUAAAUAUUGUGAAAAAAAUGUUAUAUAACUAAUUUUAAGCAUUGCUUUCCAACCUGCUUUUGUUGCUAGGUGUGUGUAGUGUUUUAUAAUUUUUAUUUAGGUCAAGUUGGUCAAUAGUGUUGCUCAGGUCUUCUAUAUACUUACCU
RNAcentral lists this long non-coding RNA (3690 nucleotides) under Homo sapiens (human). RNAcentral's name for it is "HSALNT0090728". Lineage: Eukaryota; Metazoa; Chordata; Mammalia; Primates; Hominidae. The record is from RNAcentral.